RNAcentral lists this unclassified non-coding RNA (1345 nucleotides) under Octopus sinensis (East Asian common octopus). Its description in RNAcentral is "eukaryotic peptide chain release factor subunit 1, transcript variant X2". Lineage: Eukaryota; Metazoa; Mollusca; Cephalopoda; Octopoda; Octopodidae. The record is from RNAcentral.
UAUUUCCGCGACACUCUCUCCUCCACCCACCACAGACGGAACAGGUCCGAGCCUUUUCAAAAUGGCUUCCAACGGUGUGGAUGGUGAAACGAACGCCGAUCGUAACGUCGAAAUAUGGAAGAUAAAGAAGCUGAUCAAAAGCCUGGAGGCGGCUAGGGGAAAUGGCACAAGCAUGAUUUCCCUGAUUAUUCCUCCCAAGGAUCAAAUUUCUCGAGUUGCUAAGAUGUUAGCCGAUGAGUUUGGCACAGCUUCUAACAUAAAGAGUCGAGUAAACCGGCUAUCUGUGCUGGGUGCCAUUACAUCAGUACAACAGAGACUAAAGUUAUAUAACAAAGUGCCUCCUAAUGGUUUAGUCAUCUAUUGUGGAACCAUUGUUACAGACGAAGGAAAAGAGAAAAAAGUUAAUAUUGAUUUUGAACCGUUCCGACCUAUAAAUACUUCGCUCUACCUCUGUGACAACAAAUUUCACACGGAAGCUUUAACAGCACUUUUGGCAGAUGAUAAUAAGUUUGGUUUUAUUGUGAUGGAUGGUAACGGAGCCUUAUUUGGAACCUUAUCUGGAAAUACACGAGAAGUACUUCAUAAAUUUACAGUUGAUUUACCAAAGAAACACGGUCGUGGUGGACAAUCAGCAUUGCGGUUCGCUCGAUUACGAAUGGAGAAACGUCACAACUAUGUACGAAAAGUUGCUGAGGUGGCAGUUCAGUUAUUCAUUACCAAUGACAAGCCCAAUAUUUCAGGACUUGUGUUGGCUGGUUCUGCAGAUUUUAAAACGGAACUUAGUCAAUCAGAUAUGUUUGAUCCAAGAUUACAAGGCAAAAUUAUCAAGAUAGUUGAUGUUUCCUAUGGAGGAGAGAAUGGUUUUAAUCAAGCAAUUGAACUAGCAUCAGAUGCUUUAGCGAAUGUUAAAUUUAUUCAAGAAAAGAAAUUGAUAGGCAGGUAUUUUGAUGAGAUAUCUCAGGAUACAGGCAAAUAUUGUUUUGGUGUUGAUGACACCUUAAAAGCUUUAGAAAUGGGUGCUGUUGACAUUCUGAUCGUCUGGGAAAAUCUUGAUAUUACAAGAUAUAUCUUGAAGAACCAUUCCACAGAUGAGGAGAAAAUCUUGCAUUUGAGGCCAGAGCAGGAAAAAGACAAAACACACUUCAUGGAAAAAGAAGAGGUGUUGAGUGCAUUGAAGUCUCCCCAAUGAUGGUGUUUGUGAGAGUGUUAAAGUGCUGUAGCUGGUUGGGGUGCAACCUGGUGGGACAGUUGGUGAGGUUGGUAGUGACGGGAGUUGAGUUGGAAUUAGUGGACCAAAUGCCUCUUCUUGAAUGGUUUGCAAAUAAUUACAAAAACUUUGGUAAGA